CCCUUAGAUGUUCUGGGCCGCACGCGCGCUAUACUGAUGCAUUCAACGAGUCUAAAACCUGCUCUGAUAGGGGUGGGUAAUCUUUUGAAUGUGCAUCGUGAUUGGGAUAGAUGAUUGCAAUUUUUCAUCUUCAACGAGGAAUGCCUAGUAAACGCAAGUCAUCAGCUUGCAUUGAUUACGUCCCUGCCCUUUGUACACACCGCCCGUCGCUCCUACCGAUUGAAUGAUCCGAUGAAUAUCAUGGAUUGAGGAUGCAAGUAGGUUAGCCUAUCUUCAUCUUCGAGAAGUGAAGUAAAUCUUAUCAUUUAGAGGAAGGAGAAGUCGUAACA
Molecule: ribosomal RNA, 329 nt
Filed under: uncultured eukaryote
Lineage: Eukaryota
Description: partial 18S ribosomal RNA
Rfam family: Eukaryotic small subunit ribosomal RNA
Source: RNAcentral